CGAUGCGUUUCUACCGAAACU
Molecule: small nuclear RNA, 21 nt
Filed under: Arabidopsis thaliana (thale cress)
Lineage: Eukaryota; Viridiplantae; Streptophyta; Magnoliopsida; Brassicales; Brassicaceae
Description: snRNA_08569
Source: RNAcentral